RNAcentral lists this long non-coding RNA (516 nucleotides) under Capsella rubella. RNAcentral describes it as "long non-coding RNA (CRUB_LNC003683)". Lineage: Eukaryota; Viridiplantae; Streptophyta; Magnoliopsida; Brassicales; Brassicaceae. The record is from RNAcentral.
UUUUAAUUAAUGAGGGUGCUAGAAAUCGCGAUUUAGUUUAUUACUGUUGAUAUACGUACUGGUACUACUGCCUUUCUUUUUAAGGAUAUGAGCAGUGUAAUUAGCUACGACAACGUUCAUAUUCCGUAUUAUAUUAGUGCAAAUAUUUUUUGAUAUACAAACAUCCUCUUUUCUUCAGUAAGGUCUUUUACAGAGAAAAAUAUGAAUGUGUAAAAAAAAAAAAAAAUUAAAAUAUUAGUAUUAAUAAAAUUAGUUGUGAAAAUUUUCGACCAAUCACAGUUUAAUUUUAAAUCUGACAGUCUAUCAUGUUAAUAUCAAAUGAAAAAAAAAAAAAAGAAUUUGUUCCCUAAGAAAAAGAAAACUAGAAAAACACAAGUUUUUGGUUUUCACAUUGUCAAGUGUUAAUUUUCCAAUGAAAAGUCAGAAGGUGGUUAGUUAACUGAGAUUAGAAGUGUAGUGCUAUGCGUUUUCAGAGAUAUCCACAAAAAUCGAGUCCUUUCCAUAAUUGCCUGAAAC